GGUAUAAUUUUAACGUUGUAUAUAAUAUUAAAAAAAUAAUAAUAACGUCACAAAUGCAGUAUUUGGCAACAUCUGUUAACAGAAUCAGGUUCAGGUUCAUUGUUAUUGCCUAUUUUAGACUCUUGCCAUAUAAAAUAAUACCCAUUAGUAAAUUCAGAUUUCUAGGCACAGGUUGACAAGGACAAGGAUUGUGCCCACUCUUACAGAGGCCUGCUUGUUUUGGCUGGUGCACUCUCAGAGCUUGUGUAGACACACAACUUAUUCCCUUUUGACCUUUGUGGUCAUUUAUUCUGCAUUUAGCUAAAUGUUUAUUUCAGAAACCAGUUAAAUACAGUGUUGGUACAACUAAUCAUCUCAUCUGGUUGUUUUGCAGGUUGUUGUACCCAUCCUUUAUCACUGAAAUAUUUUACAAUAUUUUUCUUUCUCUCUCUAACUUUCUUUUUUCUUGUAUUUAUCUCACUCCCUUUUUUAUUUCUUUGUACUUAACUUUACAUUGUUUCUCUUAAAAAAAAACACGUACAAAUGGCAUCUGAGUCAUUCAGUCAGUUUAAGGAAUGGCUGGAAGCAGCAAAAACCAUGGCAGAUGAGUUGGAAACCCAAAAAACUAAAAAGAAAAGAAAACAAAAGGGAACAGAAGUCUCCAAUGUUUCCUGGAGGAAGAGAGACCAGCAUGGGAACAUCCUACCACAGCGUGUUAGGAAGACUCGAUCUAAGAAACCUGCUGGCACUAGAGAGCUUUCAGAAGUUGAGGAGGUGGAAAUGGAUGAAAUUCCACAAGAGGUCCCAAGUCUUGAUCAACAUCUUCAGAGAAUAAAAAACCUGCUAAAUUCUGUCACUGUCUCUGCACCAAUGGAAGCAGAAGAGACACCCACCAUGUCUGCAUGGACCAACAGACAGGCCAUCUCUGAAAAAAAAUUUAAGACUGCAAUGCCAGAAAUCUUAAAUUGCAUGUUGGCUGCAGAGACAGUAACCCAGCAUUGCUGUCAACAAUGCAAGACUGCUGAUGCUGUUGUCCGGUGCCUAGACUGUGUUCCCUCAGGAAGUCAGUUUUUCUGUUCCACAUGUGACUCAGAGAUCCACAGAAAAAAUGUUUUCCAUAAUAGAGAAGCUAUGUUUGAUGGUUUUUUUUAA
Molecule: long non-coding RNA, 1131 nt
Filed under: Carassius auratus (goldfish)
Lineage: Eukaryota; Metazoa; Chordata; Actinopteri; Cypriniformes; Cyprinidae
Description: lncRNA (ENSCARG00000020680.1)
Source: RNAcentral